This 253-nucleotide ribosomal RNA is filed under the name uncultured bacterium. Its description in RNAcentral is "partial 16S ribosomal RNA". It matches the Rfam family "Bacterial small subunit ribosomal RNA", at positions 524 to 776 of the family's 1533-position model. The record is from RNAcentral.
UACGUAGGGGGCAAGCGUUGUCCGGAUUUAUUGGGCGUAAAGAGCGUGUAGGCGGCCGCACAGGUCCGUUGUGAAAACUGGAGGCUCAACCUUCAGACGUCGAUGGAAACCGUGCGGCUAGAGUCCGGAAGAGGAGAGUGGAAUUCCUGGUGUAGCGGUGAAAUGCGCAGAUAUCAGGAAGAACACCCGUGGCGAAGGCGGCACGCUGGACCCCCACUGACGCUGAGGCGCGAAAGCCAGGGGAGCGAACGGG